Long non-coding RNA from Dioscorea cayenensis subsp. rotundata (Guinea yam), 603 nucleotides. RefSeq lists it as uncharacterized. NCBI's taxonomy places the organism in Eukaryota, Viridiplantae, Streptophyta, Magnoliopsida, Dioscoreales, Dioscoreaceae. The record is from RefSeq and is a predicted model, not a curated record. The transcript has 2 exons.
AAUUAAAAAAAAAUUAAAAAAAAUUUAGAUCAGCCGGUUUGCCACAGCUGCAGUUGUGCGAGGACAAGUGUUCCCUCUUGGCUUGUUUUGUUAAUGAAUUAAUGAUCUUCUCCACCGUUUCUCUUCCUCGUCUCCUUGUCCUUCUUCUUUGUUUUCUCUCCCCCAGAAAUUUCAAGAUGAUGCUCGGUUUUCAACGGAUCCAAUGGAUGCUUGAUCUCUUCGUCGCAGGGAUUUCGUUGAUGGUGGUUUUGGGGAUCUUCACCUUUGUGGCCUCCAUUCUUUGCUCUGCAGCAUUCAUCCACCAUUCCAAGCUCCCUUCUUAGACGCUCUCAGUACAUGGCAAAAGGUCAAUCCUUUUUUCAAAACUUGGCAGAUUCAUGUUCAAAGGCUUAUCUGAUGAUGUGUAUUUUGCUGCUUCAUUAGAAUAAAUGCUACCAAUCAUAUGUUGUUGAAUGUAGGUUGUAUGACAUAUGAAUCAUGUUGAAUAUGCUCAUCUUGAAUAAUUUAUCAAGAGUUGUGUUAACAAGUCUUGGUUGACUUGUUUGAAAGAUGUAAAUGAUGCAUAAAAAAGAUAAUCCUAAUGUUUGGUUUAUGCUUUUCUUA